CUUUGUUCUGUGGAUGACAAGCCUGGCCUGAACAAAAUGAUGUUGGAUAUGCUGGAGAAAAGACAGAAGGAUGACCAGGCUAAAUAUGGGCGUGUUGCACUCAUGUUAGAUUCCAUGGCCAUAAGAAAACAUGUGCAAUAUAAUCCGCACAACCAGUCAAUGUCUGGCUUUGUAGACAUUGGUGAUGGAAACAAUGAGACUGAUGUUGCUACUGAGGCGCUUGUGUUCCUGGUGGUUGGCCUUCAAGGACAUUGGAAGGCUCCCAUUGCAUAUUACCUGACGAAGACUCUGUCUCCAGACACACAAAGGGUCCUUCUCACUCAUGCAUUGGAGGAGCUGCAUGCACGGGGUAUUCAGGUGGUAUGUGUCACAAUGGAUGGCCAUGCUACAAACAUCAGCAUGUGCAAUCAACUUGGUUGUGAGCUGAGGGGUAACCCACAAGAGCCACUUAAAACCAGUUUCCCACAUCCGUCGACUGGUGACCAAGUAUUCAUAAUGAUGGACGCAUGCCACAUGCUGUAGUUGGCACGUAAUAUGUUGCAGGUAAAUUAUAAAUGUUGUAUACCUAUUUGUACAAGUUAUGUCUCUGCUACUAAAAGUUGCACAUUUAUUACUGGAUGUGAAGAUCAACAUUGUGCUGUUUGUACUUGUUUGAGCAGUGACCAAUUCUUUCUCUGCAGUCAUACAGUCCGAUUGCAUCUACCAGUGGACAAAUAAAUUGGAGGUACAUCAAUCAGCUCAAUGAUGUGCAAAAAAAAGAUGGACUGCAUGCCACAAAUAAAAUUACAGACAAGCAUGUCCACUUUGAGAACCACAAGAUGAAGGUUUCCCUAGCCGCACAAACACUGAGUCGUUCAGUGUCAGUGGCUCUCCGCACAAAGCGAGAUCUUGGGUACUCUCAGUUCAGAGACUAUGAGGCAACAGCAGAUUUCAUCAAGGUAAUUCCCUAAUAAUUCUGAUUGUAUCAUAGGUUUUUUCCACAAAUUUAAGGUUUUUCGAUAUUUAACUGACAUGACAUUUAUAUGCCAAUAAUUUUUUUUAUAGAUGAUUGAAAGUCUCUUUGACAUUAUGAAUGGACACAAUCCUCGUGUCAAAGGAUUCAAAGCUCCUUUCGAUGCUUUGAAUUUUUUUUUUUUUUUUUAUUUGUGCAGUGUGACAAUACAAGACAUACAACAUACAACAGCAUUUGUGGUUUUGUGUGUGUGUGUGUGUGUGUGUGUGUGUGUGUGUGUGUGGUGUGUGUGUGUGUAUUAUAUAUGUAAAUAAUAAUGAAAAAAUAAAAAAAUAAAAAAAUAAAUAUUACAAUUGUCAGACAAGCAAAAGAAAAUAAUAAUACAAGAACAAUAUCAAUAAUAAUAAUAAUAAUAAUAAUAAGAAGAAGAAGAAGAAGAACAACAACAACAACAACAUUCAAUAUUAAUAAAGAAAAGCAAUAAUAAUAAUAUGGGUGGAGGGGGGGUCUUGAAAUUUGUGGACCACCUCGGGUCCCUUCCCACUCGCGCGAGACCUGCCUGGAUCCCCCCCCCCCAACCCCCGCAUGCCCCGGACUGAAUGCGGCACAACACCUUGCCCUAUUUCUAUAUAUGUAUUUAUUUUGUGUUAUUUACGUAAUAUACUUUAUAAUUAUUUAUUUAUUUUUAUUUUUAUUUUUUAAUUAUUAUUAUUAUUAUUAUUAUUAUUAUUAUUAUUAUUAUUAUUAUUAUCAUCAUUAUUCCCCUUUUUUUUCCCUUUUAAAUUUCUCUCAUAUAUGUGUUUUCUAAUGUUGUGCAUUAAAACCUAGUGUGAUGUGCAAUAAAAAAAGGUGAUGUGCCAUCUGAAGACAGUCCAGGGCGGAGAACUGAGGGAGGGGGGAGGCCGGGAGGGCAAGGAGAUCACAGGUCAUGGCCUAACAGGCGCGACCCAGCAGGGACCCGAGCAGAAAAUAAUAACUGUAAAUGUAAGUAUAUAAAUAAAUAAGUAUAAAUAAUAAUAAUAAUAAUAAUAAUAAUAGACAAUGACAAUAAUAUUCAUCAUAAUUUUUGUAGUAAUAUGUAGUAAAAAACAAUAAUAAUAAUAAUAAUAAUAAUAAUAAUAAUAAUAAUAAUAAUAAUAAAAUAAUAAUAAUAAAUGGAUAAAUAAAUAAAAUAAAAAUAAAAAAUAAAAAAAUGGGAAUGAAAGUGUCAGAGAACUGAGAUGGAUGAUGUUGAAUGAUGUUGUGACUGGUUUGUGGCAGAUUAUAAUUGUAGAAAAGUGAUGAAUGAUAACCAGGUAGAGUUAUGAUUAUUGUCAGAGGAGUUUGUAUUUUCUAAGGAGAUGUAGUCUAUGAGCAGGUUUUUCCAGUGUAUGAUGUGUAUGGAGUUCCGAGACUUCCAGUUCAUGAGGAUAGUUUUCCUGGCGACGGUUAGUGCCACUAGAAGUGAACGUGUGUGUGUUUUGUCAAGUUUUAAUGUAGAUAGGUCUCCUAAUGAACAGAGGGAAGGGGAAAGUGGGAUGUGGCAGCCCAUGAUCUGGGAUAAUGUUUCUGUAAUGUUUCUCCAGAAGUGGUGAACAGGUGUGCAGUGCCAGGUUGCAUGAAUAUAGGUAUCAGUGCAGUUUAGUGAGCAGUGUGAACAGUUUCGAGAUGAUGAGAAGCCCAUUUUUUUGCAUUUUGUGUCCAGUCAGAUGAGUUCUAUGACGGAUUUUGUAUUGUAUGAGUUGUAAAUUGGCAUUUGUCGUCAUGGAGAAAAUGUUCUUGCAGAUUUGGGGCCAGAAGUCAGCAUCAGGAGCAAUGGAGAGGUCAGUUUCCCAUUUUUCUGAAGGUAUGGAGGGUGUUGAAUCGGCCUGUGAUAAUAAUUUGUAUAUUUUAGAUAGAAGUUUCUUUGAGGAAGGGAUGUUAAUGAAUUUAGAGGGUGACGGGGGGAGGUCUAAGUUUAUAUUCUUGUUUUUCAUUGUUGAUUGGAUGGAUGAUGAAACCUGUAGAUAUUGUAAGAAUUGAUGGCUCCUGAUGUCAAACUUCUGGACCAGGAGAGAGAAUGGGAUCAGGGUGUUAUUGUUGAAGAUAUGUUUGAGGUGAGUAAUCCCUUUCUCUACCCAGGUGCUGAAGUAUAGUGAUUGUUUAUUGCUGAUGAAGUCCAGGUUGUGCCAGAUCGGGGUGAAAAGCGAUGGUGCCAAAGUGGAGUUAGUAAUGCUGUAGAAUUUCCACCAGGCUGUCAGGGCCGAUGAUAUUGUGGGGUUUUGGAAACAGGGGUGUUUUUUGAUAGUUUGACUAAGGAAUGGUAAGUCUGAGAGAUGGAUGUUUUUGCUAACUAUUUGUUCUACGUCUAACCAAGUGCUAUCUGACUGGGUGGGGUGGGUCCAUUUGUAGAUGUAUUGAAGUUGAUUUGCUAGUGAGUAAUAAUGAAAAUUUGGAGCAUUGAGUCCGCCUAAACUUUUUGAUUUUUGAAGAGUGGCCAGUUUGAUUUGUGGGGGUUUAUUUUUCCAGUAAAAUUUGUUGAUGGAUGAAUCAAGGGAAUGAAACCAGGUGAGAGGUGUAUAAGUGGGAAUCAUUGAACAAAGGUAACUGAUUUUGGGGAGGAUUGUCAUUUUAACUGUUGCUAUUCUGCCAGUAAUAGAUAAUGGGAGGUUCAUCCAUCGUUGGAGAUCGUCAUUGAUUUUUUUUAGGAGUGGAGUGAAAUUCAGGUUGAUCAACUCUGACAGCCUGGGGGAAAUGUGGAUGCCUAAGUAGGUGAUGUGACUUGUGCAGAAGGGGAUGGGUGUUGUAAGGGCUGCCACAGCCAGACUGUUGGUGUUUAAUGGGAGUAUGGAGGAUUUGUUCCAGUUUUCCAGCAUCGGUGCUUUGAAUUUGAUAGAGAGGAAAGCAUUUUUGUCAAGAGCCAGAGAGCACUUGCUCACUUUGGCGACAAAAGAUGGAACACCCCUCCACCGCCCUAAGAGGUCUUUUAAAAAAGAAAGUUCGAGAAAGUUACUGCAUGAGUUCAUUGAAACAGUUCCAGUUUUUGUUCCAUGCAUCGUGUUCAUAAGAUGCCUCAUUCUGUAUCAGGUUCAUAUGAUACAGUAUAUUUUCUUUUUGUUUUGUCUGCCAACAUGAUGCUCUUUAAUUACAAUGUUUUUCUGUCCAGUUGUAUUUGUCCAAAUUAACGUGUAUUCAGUGUUUUUCAGGUCACAGAUGCAUAUAAAUUUAAUUUUUCCCCCCAACAUCGAGAUUUGUAGGUGUCAAAAAGAGAGCUUGUAUGUACGAGGGAUGUUGUCGUUUUCUGCCACUUACCCGGGUUGCAGGGGCAGCAGCUUCAGGAGGGAGGUCCAGAUCUCCGGUGGGAUCCCCAGAUGUUCCCAAGCCAGGCGAGAGACACAAUCCCUCCACCUGGUCCUGGAUCGGCCACAAGGUCUCCUCCCGGUUGGACAUGUCUGGAACACCUCUUACG
Xyrichtys novacula (pearly razorfish) is the source of this 4379-nucleotide non-coding RNA. Lineage: Eukaryota; Metazoa; Chordata; Actinopteri; Labriformes; Labridae. The record is from the annotation of a GenBank genome assembly.